GGGGAUGUAGCUCAGUGGUAGAGCGCAUGCUUCGCAUGUAUGAGGUUCAAUCCCCGGCAUCUCCA
This 65-nucleotide transfer RNA is filed under the name Xenopus tropicalis (tropical clawed frog). RNAcentral's name for it is "Xenopus (Silurana) tropicalis (western clawed frog) tRNA". It matches the Rfam family "tRNA". From Rfam's summary of the family: Transfer RNA (tRNA) molecules are approximately 80 nucleotides in length. Their secondary structure includes four short double-helical elements and three loops (D, anti-codon, and T loops). The record is from Rfam by way of RNAcentral. Lineage: Eukaryota; Metazoa; Chordata; Amphibia; Anura; Pipidae.